GUGGGUAGUUUGACUGGGGCGGUCUCCUCCCAAAGAGUAACGGAGGAGCACGAAGGUUGGCUAAUCCUGGUCGGACAUCAGGAGGUUAGUGCAAUGGCAUAAGCCAGCUUGACUGCGAGCGUGACGGCGCGAGCAGGUGCGAAAGCAGGUCAUAGUGAUCCGGUGGUUCUGAAUGGAAGGGCCAUCGCUCAACGGAUAAAAGGUACUCCGGGGAUAACAGGCUGAUACCGCCCAAGAGUUCAUAUCGACGGCGGUGUUUGGCACCUCGAUGUCGGCUCAUCACAUCCUGGGGCUGAAGUAGGUCCCAAGGGUAUGGCUGUUCGCCAUUUAAAGUGGUACGCGAGCUGGGUUUAGAACGUCGUGAGACAGUUCGGUCCCUAUCUGCCGUGGGCGCUGGAGAAUUGAGGGGGGCUGCUCCUAGUACGAGAGGACCGGAGUGGACGCAUCACUGGUGUUCGGGUUGUCAUGCCAAUGGCACU
Molecule: ribosomal RNA, 479 nt
Filed under: Enterobacter hormaechei
Lineage: Bacteria; Pseudomonadati; Pseudomonadota; Gammaproteobacteria; Enterobacterales; Enterobacteriaceae
Also listed under: 1 other name
Description: partial 23S ribosomal RNA
Rfam family: Bacterial large subunit ribosomal RNA
Source: RNAcentral